UGCGUAGGCGGCCGAUUAAGUUGGAUGUGAAAUACCCGGGCUUAACUUGGGGGUGCAUCCAAUACUGGUUGGCUAGAGUGCAGGAGAGGGAAGCGGAAUUCCUAGUGUAGCGGUGAAAUGCGUAGAUAUUAGGAGGAACACCAGUGGCGAAGGCGGCUUUCUGGACUGUAACUGACGCUGAUGCACGAAAGCGUGGGGAGCAAACAG
This 207-nucleotide ribosomal RNA is filed under the name uncultured bacterium. RNAcentral describes it as "partial 16S ribosomal RNA". It matches the Rfam family "Bacterial small subunit ribosomal RNA", at positions 568 to 775 of the family's 1533-position model. The record is from RNAcentral.